UAUUAUAUUAUGUCAUAUUAGCAUGCUGACGUUAGAAUUUAGUUCAAAGCACUGUUGUGCCUAAGACCUAGCAUGGCUCUAGCAGGGCUUGUCUAAACAGUGAAAGUCAACACAGUAAAAAUGUAACAACACUCAAAAAGUUAAGUGGGUUAAACUGACAUAGAUAUCAUGCUUGGACACUAGCUCCUCUGUUUUAUAGGUUGUUCUGUUAAGCUGGUGAGGGGGAGACGGCAUGAGGGGGCUUUUUCAAUGUAAACUCAAGGUGUGUAACAGUCCCGAGAAGUGCUUCAUUCUAUUUCUAUUUUGGUAUUUGAAUUUUGUUGUGGCAGUCCAAAUAUAAACUGUGAUCUACCGGAGCUGUCUGUGUGCAACUUUUCAGAAGCCGGUGUUUAUUUCUUCACUGUGAAGUGGUCCAAGGCACAUCUUUAAUGUCAGUAUUCUAUCCCAGUGAUGUCCCUGUAUCCCUGUUAACUGGUCUUCGGCAGCUGGUCGGACAUGUCAUCCACCCCGGUCAUUUGAGAACUGACAUCCAAAACUUCAGGCGAGGGUCAGGAGGAUAGAAACACACCGAUGCCAUCUACCUCCCGCUUGGUGAAAUAAAUCCUAUUUGAAACCAUCCCUAAGGAGCCCUUCACAAUAAAAUACAGUUGCUGUUUCCCAUAGCAACAAAAACUAGAUCCGAUGACUACCUUACAAAGAGAGACAGAAUAUGAUGGACGGACUGGAUAUGAUAUGAAUGGAAACGUCCUCCAGCCACAAAAUAAAUAUUUAUUGCUGCAAGCCACACUUUGCUGCUCCAAGCCUCACUCUCUGGAUCUUCAUAUGUCUUUCUUCCCUGCUCUGUGCCCUCACUUUGGAAACCAAUCUCUUCAGAGGUCAAAUCCUCUGGCUCUCUUUCUGUAG
This 903-nucleotide long non-coding RNA is filed under the name Cottoperca gobio. RNAcentral describes it as "lncRNA (ENSCGOG00000005709.1)". Lineage: Eukaryota; Metazoa; Chordata; Actinopteri; Perciformes; Bovichtidae. The record is from RNAcentral.